Molecule: long non-coding RNA, 1997 nt
Filed under: Marmota monax (woodchuck)
Lineage: Eukaryota; Metazoa; Chordata; Mammalia; Rodentia; Sciuridae
Source: RNAcentral
AUUUUGUUUUAGCUUUUACACUCUAUUAAGGCCUUCAACUGAUUGAAUGAGGCCCACUCUCCUUGGGGAGGACCACCUUCUCUACUCACUCUAAAAAUUCACUGCUAAUCUCAUCCAGAAACGUCCUUCGGGAGAUACUCAGAAUGAUGUUUGAUCAAAUGUCUAGGCGCCCCAGUCUAGUUGACAGAUAAAAUUAACCAGACUCAUUGUCUGGUAAUAUAGUCUUGCAACAUAGCUGUUCAAGUCUUUAGCUCAUUUCUGAUUGGAUUAUAUGGUUUUUUUUAAUUGUUGUUCUUGAUUUAUAAGAAUUCUUUAUAUAUUCUGAAUCUGAGUCUUAAUUGGAUACCUGUGUGGCAAAUUCUUCCAGUGGCUGGCCUUUUCAGUGCUACCUAAUCUUUCUGUCUUUUCUUUAUGGUCAAUGAUUGUUUUUCAUUUAAAAAAUGUGUGCCAGUUGCUCUCUGAGGUAACGUGCUGGUUCGUGUGGUCUUUGUGAAAUUCCACCAUGGCGUACCGUGGCCAGGGCCAGAAGGUCCAGAAGGUGAUGGUGUAGCCCAUCAACCUCAUCUUCAGAUACUUGCAAAACAGAUCCCGGAUUCAGGUGUGGCUCUAUGAGCAAGUGAAUAUGCGGAUAGAGGGCUGUAUUAUUGGUUUCGAUGAUGCAGAAGAGAUUCAUUCUAAAACAAAGUCAAGAAAACAGCUGGGUCGGCUCAUUCUAAAAGGAUAUAAUAUUACUCUGCUACAAAGUGUCUCCAACUAGAAAUGAUCAAUGAAGUGAGAAAUUACAGAGAAAGCAACAAUUUUUUUUAAAAUUUAGCUGCCCUUUGCCUAGAAUAUAGUUCUAAAGCAUUAGUUCACAUUGUUUUGAUGACCUAUGUUAUUACCAGAUGAAAAUAAAUGCUGUGGGACUCUUUUUAUUAAAAAUAAAUAAAUAAAUAAAAAUAAAAAAUGUUUGCCAGUCCCAGAUUCUGCAAGUUACCAAUUCUACUCUUUAUCUUUGAGACACUUUGCUGUGCUUUCUUUUCGUCUUGAGAUCACAUUCAGAUCUAUAAUCCAUAUGGAAUCCAUUUUCAGUAUACAGUGUGAGGUAGGGAUUUUUUUUUUUUAAGAGUCAGUAGACUCAAUACAACUUAUGGAAAAUAUCAUCCUUUCUCUCCUAAGUUUUCUUGAUGUAAUUGUCUGUCUCUGGUCUUUCCAUUCCAUUUCAUUGGUCUAAGUAUCUAUUCUUGUGUUGAUGUUAUCAAUUUUAAGUCACUGUAGCUUUAAAUCAGUCUUGAUAUCUGGAGGUAUAAGCCCCCUUUCCAUUUUGUUUUUCUUCUUUAAUAAUGCCUACAAGGGAUAUUCUUGGCCUUUUGUACUUUCAGAUACAUUUCAGAAUCAGCUGGUCAAUUUGUAUUAGAAUUUGCUAGUGUUAUGAUUGGAAUUGCACUGAAUCUAAGAAUUACUUUGGGGAAAUCAUCAUCUUAAUCAUAUUGAAUCUGCUACUACAUUGCUUUCUUCCUUUUCUCCCUCCUCCUCCUCCUUCUCCUUACCCUCAUUUUCUUCCUCCUCCUCUUCCUUUUUUCUUUUUAGUUCUGAGGAUUGAACCCGGGCCCUUUACCAGUUAGCUAUAGCCCUUUUUAUUUUUAAUUUUGAGACAGGAUCUUGCUAAGUUGCUCAGGGCCUUGCUAAAUUUCUGAGGCUGGCCUCAAACUUGGGACCUCUUGCCUCAGCCUUCCUAGUUGCUGGGAUUAUAAGCAUGUGCCACCAUGCCCGGCUCACAUUGCUUUCUUCUGAUUUGUCUUUGUUCCUAGGCAAAUUCUUCCCUAAUGGCUAAUGAAUAAUUACACAAUUUUUUUUUCCUUUUUGGUAUUGAGGAUUGAACCCAGAAGUGCUCUACCGCUGAGCUAUGUCCUCAACCCUUUUUAAUUAUAUAUAUAUAUAUAUAUAUAAUUAUAAUAUAUAUAAAUUAUAUAAUUAAUAUUUAUGUUUUUUAGUUUUAAGUGGACACAAUAUCUUUA